This 1396-nucleotide ribosomal RNA is filed under the name Escherichia coli TW06591. RNAcentral describes it as "bacterial LSU rRNA". It matches the Rfam family "Bacterial large subunit ribosomal RNA", at positions 1553 to 2925 of the family's 2925-position model. The record is from RNAcentral. Lineage: Bacteria; Pseudomonadati; Pseudomonadota; Gammaproteobacteria; Enterobacterales; Enterobacteriaceae.
AGGCUGAGGCGUGAUGACGAGGCACUACGGUGCUGAAGCAACAAAUGCCCUGCUUCCAGGAAAAGCCUCUAAGCAUCAGGUAACAUCAAAUCGUACCCCAAACCGACACAGGUGGUCAGGUAGAGAAUACCAAGGCGCUUGAGAGAACUCGGGUGAAGGAACUAGGCAAAAUGGUGCCGUAACUUCGGGAGAAGGCACGCUGAUAUGUAGGUGAAGUCCCUCGCGGAUGGAGCUGAAAUCAGUCGAAGAUACCAGCUGGCUGCAACUGUUUAUUAAAAACACAGCACUGUGCAAACACGAAAGUGGACGUAUACGGUGUGACGCCUGCCCGGUGCCGGAAGGUUAAUUGAUGGGGUUAGCGCAAGCGAAGCUCUUGAUCGAAGCCCCGGUAAACGGCGGCCGUAACUAUAACGGUCCUAAGGUAGCGAAAUUCCUUGUCGGGUAAGUUCCGACCUGCACGAAUGGCGUAAUGAUGGCCAGGCUGUCUCCACCCGAGACUCAGUGAAAUUGAACUCGCUGUGAAGAUGCAGUGUACCCGCGGCAAGACGGAAAGACCCCGUGAACCUUUACUAUAGCUUGACACUGAACAUUGAGCCUUGAUGUGUAGGAUAGGUGGGAGGCUUUGAAGUGUGGACGCCAGUCUGCAUGGAGCCGACCUUGAAAUACCACCCUUUAAUGUUUGAUGUUCUAACGUGGACCCGUGAUCCGGGUUGCGGACAGUGUCUGGUGGGUAGUUUGACUGGGGCGGUCUCCUCCUAAAGAGUAACGGAGGAGCACGAAGGUUGGCUAAUCCUGGUCGGACAUCAGGAGGUUAGUGCAAUGGCAUAAGCCAGCUUGACUGCGAGCGUGACGGCGCGAGCAGGUGCGAAAGCAGGUCAUAGUGAUCCGGUGGUUCUGAAUGGAAGGGCCAUCGCUCAACGGAUAAAAGGUACUCCGGGGAUAACAGGCUGAUACCGCCCAAGAGUUCAUAUCGACGGCGGUGUUUGGCACCUCGAUGUCGGCUCAUCACAUCCUGGGGCUGAAGUAGGUCCCAAGGGUAUGGCUGUUCGCCAUUUAAAGUGGUACGCGAGCUGGGUUUAGAACGUCGUGAGACAGUUCGGUCCCUAUCUGCCGUGGGCGCUGGAGAACUGAGGGGGGCUGCUCCUAGUACGAGAGGACCGGAGUGGACGCAUCACUGGUGUUCGGGUUGUCAUGCCAAUGGCACUGCCCGGUAGCUAAAUGCGGAAGAGAUAAGUGCUGAAAGCAUCUAAGCACGAAACUUGCCCCGAGAUGAGUUCUCCCUGACCCUUUAAGGGUCCUGAAGGAACGUUGAAGACAACGACGUUGAUAGGCCGGGUGUGUAAGCGCAGCGAUGCGUUGAGCUAACCGGUACUAAUGAACCGUGAGGCUUAACCUU